CACGUAGGGUGCGAGCGUUGUCCGGAAUUACUGGGCGUAAAGAGCUCGUAGGUGGUUUGUCGCGUUGUUCGUGAAAACUCACAGCUCAACUGUGGGCGUGCGGGCGAUACGGGCAGACUGGAGUACUGCAGGGGAGACUGGAAUUCCUGGUGUAGCGGUGGAAUGCGCAGAUAUCAGGAGGAACACCGGUGGCGAAGGCGGGUCUCUGGGCAGUAACUGACGCUGAGGAGCGAAAGCGUGGGGAGCGAACAGG
This 253-nucleotide ribosomal RNA is filed under the name uncultured bacterium. Its description in RNAcentral is "partial 16S ribosomal RNA". It matches the Rfam family "Bacterial small subunit ribosomal RNA", at positions 524 to 776 of the family's 1533-position model. The record is from RNAcentral.